This 459-nucleotide ribosomal RNA is filed under the name uncultured bacterium. Its description in RNAcentral is "partial 16S ribosomal RNA". It matches the Rfam family "Bacterial small subunit ribosomal RNA", at positions 339 to 795 of the family's 1533-position model. The record is from RNAcentral.
CUACGGGUGGCUGCAGUGAGGAAUAUUGGUCAAUGGGGGCAACCCUGAACCAGCCAUGCCGCGUGGAGGAAGACGGCCCUAUGGGUUGUAAACUCCUUUUGUAUGGGAAUAAUAAGGGUUACGUGUAAUCCGACGAAGGUACCAUACGAAUAAGCAUCGGCUAACUCCGUGCCAGCAGCCGCGGUAAUACGGAGGAUGCAGGCGUUAUCCGGAUUUAUUAGGUUUAAAGGGUGCGCAGGCGGCCCGGUAAGUCAGUGGUGAAAGUUUGCAGCUCAACUGUAAAAUUGCCAUUGAUACUGUCGGGCUUGAAUGUGGUAGAGGUAGGCGGAAUGUGUAGUGUAGCGGUGAAAUGCUUAGAUAUUACACAGAACACCGAUUGCGAAGGCAGCUUACUAUGCCAUGAUUGACGCUGAGGCACGAAAGCGUGGGGAGCGAACAGGAUUAGAUACCCCUGUAGUC